AUAUAUUAUGGUAAGUUAUAAUGGCUCCAUCAAGAUAAAACUUCUCAUCAUCUGAGCUUCCACCUUCACAUCGUCUUCAUCCUGUAUUGUAUGUAAAUGUGUCAUUGCUCAUGAAUACUUAUUUUCAGGAGGAACUGUGGAUUGGAAUGAUGCUGAACUAACCCCAGGGAGAAAUACUAUAAUUGGUCCUAAAAACCUUGCCGUUUG
Pelobates cultripes (western spadefoot toad) is the source of this 207-nucleotide non-coding RNA. The record is from the annotation of a GenBank genome assembly. Lineage: Eukaryota; Metazoa; Chordata; Amphibia; Anura; Pelobatidae.